RNAcentral lists this ribosomal RNA (531 nucleotides) under Triticum aestivum (bread wheat). Its description in RNAcentral is "partial small subunit ribosomal RNA". Lineage: Eukaryota; Viridiplantae; Streptophyta; Magnoliopsida; Poales; Poaceae. The record is from RNAcentral.
AUGAACUUUUGUUAUGCAUCCAUAUGUUUAGAUCUGCAACUGUGGCGCAACCAUCGCCCAUUCAUCUCCAACACGACUUGUCUGCCUUGUCACUCUCUGUGCCUGUACGAGGCCAUCCCUGAGCUUCUGCAGCCAGUGGGAGCUGUUUCAGACGAGGUCCUAGAGGCGACGAGGGCAGUGCGGUGGCACGAGAGGGUAGAGUGGAUCUCCGACGAUGUGAAGUGUUGGUCGCGGAGUGUGAAGGAGUGGAAGAGAGUGAUUGCAGAGAUGGAGGGAGAUCCAACUAUCCCCCGUGUCCGCCCGGAAGGGACCAUUGAAGCUGCCAAGCAGCACUCCAACUGGGAGCUGCGCAAUUUCGGCCAGAGGAUCUACUUCGAGAGCAAUGCGGAGGAGAGAGCCAGGAUGCCGCCCCCAAGUGCAUCGGCGUUCGAUAUCAUCAGCUGGGGAAGGGCGGAGGUGAAAACUCCAGCGGGCAAGGCAAGGUGGGAGUGCUUGAACGAUCGGAUUGUUGGGGAACGUUGUAUAAAAUAA